This 320-nucleotide ribosomal RNA is filed under the name Sceloporus caeruleus (blue ornate spiny lizard). Its description in RNAcentral is "partial 12S ribosomal RNA". It matches the Rfam family "Bacterial small subunit ribosomal RNA", at positions 866 to 1351 of the family's 1533-position model. Lineage: Eukaryota; Metazoa; Chordata; Lepidosauria; Squamata; Phrynosomatidae. The record is from RNAcentral.
UAUCCGCCAGAAAACUACGAGCGAAAAGCUUAAAACUCAAAGGACUUGGCGGUGCUCCAUACCGACUUAGAGGAGCCUGUCCUAUAAUCGAUACCCCACGCUAAACCUCACCAAUCUUUGCCAAGCCAGCCUAUAUACCGCCGUCGUCAACCCACCUCAUGAGAGAAAAACAGUGAGUACAAAAGUUUAAUAACUAAAACGUCAGGUCAAGGUGUAGCUAAUAGAAUGGAAGAGAUGGGCUACAUUUUUUAAAAUAAAACACACGGCACGGUACUAUGAAACUCUUACCCAAAGGAGGAUUUAAUAGUAAAACUAACUAG